RNAcentral lists this long non-coding RNA (442 nucleotides) under Equus asinus (donkey). RNAcentral's name for it is "lncRNA (ENSEASG00005026596.1)". The record is from RNAcentral. Lineage: Eukaryota; Metazoa; Chordata; Mammalia; Perissodactyla; Equidae.
AUUCAGCAGGAGCUGUAAGUAAAACAGAUUCUCACAAACGGGGGUGUAAGGAUGGCAGACAAGCAGGAGCAUUUCUGAUGCGUGUGUGUAGCAGAGCGAUGGGCACAUGUUUUUGGUGCCAUAACUUAGAUCUGGAUCAGAGCCACCAUCAGACCCUCGGACAGGACAACCAGGCCUUCCAGCUCUCACCAGAACCUUUGUCUCCAGUCUGCUUGCUUGUUUGGGUAUCCGGUGGACUCUAACUGAUACAAGAGCCUUCUAGAAAAGUUUUCCUUGAUCUUUAAAAUAAACGCAGAGAAAAGAAGGUCCACUUUGUACUUCUGGAUGUUGCUUUCUUCAUGUGCCACCUGGAACUGUAGCAGUCAUUGUGAGACCAUGAGGAAGCCCACCUAAAAACAAGGCAGACACAGUCCAGCUCAUCAAGUGGAAAGGUGAAAAGAAC